This 660-nucleotide ribosomal RNA is filed under the name uncultured euryarchaeote. Its description in RNAcentral is "bacterial SSU rRNA". It matches the Rfam family "Archaeal small subunit ribosomal RNA", at positions 337 to 999 of the family's 1478-position model. The record is from RNAcentral. Lineage: Archaea; Methanobacteriati; Methanobacteriota.
AGGCGCGAAAACUUCGCAAUGCGGGAAACCGUGACGAGGGAAUCCCGAGUGCUCAUGCAAUGCAUGGGCUUUUAUGAUGUGUAAAAAGCAUUAGGAAUAGGGGCUGGGUAAGACCGGUGCCAGCCGCCGCGGUAAUACCGGCAGCUCUAGUGGUAGCCACUUUUAUUGGGCCUAAAGCGUUCGUAGCCGGUCAGGUAAAUCCUUGGGUAAAUCGUACAGCUUAACUGUGCGGAUUCCGAGGAGACUGCCUGACUUGGGACCGGGAGAGGUUGGAGGUACUCCUGGGGUAGGGGUGAAAUCCUGUAAUCCUAGGUGGACCACCGGCGGCGAAGGCGUCCAACCAGAACGGCUCCGACGGUGAGGGACGAAGGCUAGGGGCGCAAACCGGAUUAGAUACCCGGGUAGUCCUAGCUGUAAACGCUGCAGACUUGGUGUUGGAGAUCCUACGAGGGUGUCCAGUGCCGAAGAGAAGUUGUUAAGUUUGCCGCCUGGGAAGUAUGGCCGCAAGGCUGAAACUUAAAGGAAUUGGCGGGGGAGCACCGCAACGGGAGGAGCGUGCGGUUUAAUUGGAUUCAACGCCGGAAAACUCACCGGGGGCGACGGUUAUAUGAAGGCCAGUUUGAAGACAUUGCCUGAUUUUCCGAGAGGAGGUGCAUGGCC